GAGAGAGAGAGGGGGGAUUAGAAGAUUGAGAAAAAGAACAAAGACGUGGAUAUACGCAUAUAUAUACUUUUGAUGAAGCCGCAAGCUGAGGUUCGACUCUUCUCAGAGAACGAUACUCUCUUCAACCUGAAACAAUUUCGUAUCUACUUGAGUUUAUUGGCCUGGAAUGACCCAGUUAUUUAUCAGAAAAAUUUGGGCCAUUCGUAUUACCCGCCACGAUGAAAGUAUCGGCGUGGAAAGUAAAUCUGCUUCUUAGAUUCACGCCUGAUCUUAUAUAUCAUCGGCAAUCGGUGUUCGCGUGUCGUUAUUCCGAUCGCGACUCUGUCUGGAAUUAAUGGCCGAAGUUAGCCGCUGGUGCGGGUCGCCCACACGAAAUCUAAAGUUCACUAUCAUUCAACUUGCCGGACUAUGGUUGCGGCACGUAUCCGCUAUACACAGAUAGCCGGUAGGUGUAUCAAUGAACAGUGAGUUCGUAAAGCCGAUCCCUUUGCGGUCAGGUACGUAUACACAGUAACUUUGAAGGUGUCCCAUACCGAUCGGAUCGGCCCUAAUAUUUAAAGUGAAAGAUGGACAGUCGAUUAUGGUACGAGCAUGAAUAUUUAUACGUCAAGAUAUAACGUAUAAUGAUCUUCUCAGACAGUGAGAAAGCGUUCGAGAAAAAUAUUUCGAAAUAUAAUUUAAAUAUGCGUGGGAGUAUCAAGGGCUCCUGUACUCUGUAAUCGGGUGCCUCUAUCGAGGAGCGUGGAAGGUAUUGAUAAAUGUAGAAAACUUUUUGAUUCUGCCCCGAGGGAAGCCAUGGACUAGAGAUAGAAGAAGAACAAAAAAAUCUAUAAAACAAAGAAGGACCAGGAGAGAAUUUUUCAUGAAGACCAAGGAGGCCGAUUGGACGUGCUCUCAAUUCGAAAUUAAAUGGCCGCGUGGGAAGAAGCCAUUGAGAGCGGCUCUCUUGGAAUGGCCCGUGCAAUUUCUAUGCAUAAGAGAGACGGACUCGUGGACUCUGGUUGGUUGUAGGUGCAGGUGUCUGAGGUUCGCAUCUUCGGCGCAUGCGCAGAUCGGGAAUUCGCUAUACUAGAACUGGGCGCUAGUCCAGUACGGCUAAAACAAAAGGAAGAUGACAGCUGAAGUAAUGAGGAUACAGUUUACUCCUAAUAAGAAGAUACGCAUCAUAUUUUAUGUGCAAAGUCCCGCAGCUUCCUUCUACGGUUGCGCCCUUUUGCAAUAACCUGUUGCCUCGUACAGGUCCUGCGUAUCGGCGCCCAUUAAGAAAUACGUUAACGCAUGACAGACCAAGCUGCUGCAGGUGCAUUGAAAUUGUGGAUGCAGCUAGAAUGCUUGACAGUGGGAUUCAUGGAAUUAUUUUGCAUAUAUUUUUUUAGAGAGAGAGAGAGAGAGAGAAGAGCAUAAAGGCUUUGCUGGCAUGGACUAUAUCUAAAGGAAUAAUGUCUUUGGCUUGAUGGGAUUGACUGUACCUUGGUGUAUCUAUCGGUUAACGAUUCAAGGAGCAAACUGCAUACCGUAAAGCCGACGCCAACUGAUUACCGAGCUACGUAGUGGCCUGUCCAAAGAGAGGAGCAAUAAGAUGGCAUGAAAGGCGAAUGAUAAUAACUAUGACGGAACGAGAGGAAUCUUCGAGGAAAGAACCUAAUUCCCUGGAGCGGGCAUAACCUUUGACACGUUGGGAAUACCCUGGCGAAACCUUUCUGUGGUCUUGAGGGACUUCGGUGUUAACCCCGUUUACGAUUUUAACGCCGCCAUUUUGAUUCCCGGCGAUCGUUCGAUGAAAGUCAAGCGAAUCUCGGGAGGAAGCAAAAGAAAGAUAGGAAGGAUCGUAUGCGAAGGAAAGGAUACUUCAACCGUUUCGUGUAUUCGACUCGAGUGUAUAUUCUUACAGUUGUUGCAGCUAAGAGCAAAAGCGUGUUAGGCUUUCUGGUGCCGGCAAGAGUAACGCCUGGCUAGCAGUAGAAAACCGACAAGAGGGACAAACUCUUUCCAGGAGCAAUGACGUCAAAUAUUUAUCCGUCCACGUAUACGCGUUAACGCCGCUAAUGGCACGGGAACGAAAAGGAUGAGAAAAUGUUCCUAAUAUCGAUUUUCAUAAUUUUUCGGUUUACGAAAUCGUUGACGCUGUUGUUCAGAAAUGAUCAGCGAACAAUUAACGAGCUAUGGGUAAAUCCUGAUUUCUUUCUUAAUUAAGUCCUUGCUUGUGCCUGCGGUACCCUAAGGCAGGUUUACAACGAACAGUUAGGCCUCGUGGUAGUCGGAAGAGACGAGGGAGAGAGAAGGAGCAGAGGAUCGAGCGAGAAGCAAGAGACCAAAGCAAUUUCCAGGAACAAGCAGCCAAGCUAUACUACGUAUAGUUAAACUCUAUCUCGACGGCAGCUCGUCCCAAGGCGAUAAGAUAAAGAGUCCUGGGCUGCUCGUGGCUAUGACGGUUACCUGUGUAAAGCGCAGUAGAGAUGCAUACAUAUGUGAAGUUUACUAUGCAACCAGCAUAUGUUUAUCCGAGAGGUUCAAGUACCUUUGCUGCUUAAGGUGCCAGUGGUGCUUGAAUAAAGUGCAUUGUUCCCUGCUGGCUAAUGCUGCCAUUUCUGUUACCAACCUGAACCCAGUGCAAUGGGGAAACGGUCGGUAAUCAGUUUACGUUGGGUUUUAUAGAAAUUAUUUUUUCAAAUCCAACAUUUUAAUCUUACCCAAUCACCUUUCUUUUUAUUGGCAUUACUGGUCACACGGUGCUUCGUGCACGUAGGAAAUAAAUUUUAAUAUAAAUUGUUUUAUUACUAUAACGCAUUCAUUCAGGUACCUCUUAUCCAGAGGAUUGGCGGAUGACUCUGAUAAAAGAAAGAGAGAGGAGACACCAUGCUUGACGCAUGAGUUAUUGCAGUGGUGGUGGUUAGCGUUAAUUUUGAGGUAGGUAAUAUAUUGCGAAAAUCAGGCCUGCCUCCUGCAUCCAUUGCGAGCACUUGAGCUAGACAAAGGACGCCAUCGGCGGGACGUAAAUCAUAUUAGAGAAGUCACCCAGGACCCUCUUCUUCCUUCUUUGGUUACCAUGGGAUCCUUAUGUGGGACCACACAAGGAGCUUCCCAUACAGAGUUUCUAGCGGAUCUGUAUAGCAUAUAACAACAAGACAGACUAUACCGUACAGUAUAUACUGGUACUAUACUAAAUACAUAUACUACCAGGGUAGACACAAGCCUGAUCGUAGGACACAAGUGUUUACGUAGUAAUAAGAUAUAAAGUUACUGACUAUACUAUUUUAAAUAACACUAUUCAAUUUUUUUUAUCAGAUAAUGCACCUUCGACAAUUUGAAAGCGUCCACGAGUGUCUUAAAUAAAUAUUCCAGAUGUCUUGUACAUGACAAUCCGUGACCUGGGACAAUAUGGAAAAAGCUUGGCUAAGAUCAACUCACAGUGGUCCAUUCGGUUCUUCGAUUAUCCGAUGAUCCCAACUGCUCCAGUACCAUUUUCCUAGACGUCUUGAGAUCACAUCACGUAUUUAAAUUUUUUUAAAUUAAUAAACAGACUUUAUUAAUAUUAGUAUUGUUCGUAGACACUGAUCCGGAUCGAAAUUUUGUUUAAGGUAUUUAAUUCCUAUUUCUUUUUUUAAUAAUAUUACUGUGAUCUACCACCAGAACGGUGAGAGCGGUUCGGAUGCUGCGACCGAGAAGGAGUCACUACUGAUGCUGGACCGUUCACGGUUAAGAUGUGUACCGACUUCAUUGGCCCCUCCUACUACCUCAGGAAGACUCUUACGACUCCGGUUACCUGCACGCUCGAUUUUCAAAACCUCCACUCAAGCCCUACACAAUCUGGAUAAUUGUAAUGAGACAAAUAAACCAGCCCUCACACUCGGUCUCAGUCAAGACCCCAAGAUCUGAUUGUCACAGAAGAAAAUGAAUCUCAUGAAAGCAUCUGUGAAAAUGA
Long non-coding RNA from Cephus cinctus (wheat stem sawfly), 3922 nucleotides. RefSeq lists it as uncharacterized. NCBI's taxonomy places the organism in Eukaryota, Metazoa, Arthropoda, Insecta, Hymenoptera, Cephidae. The transcript is spliced from 4 exons. The record is from RefSeq and is a predicted model, not a curated record.